UACAGAGACUGCAAGCGUUAUUCGGAUUCACUGGGCGUAAAGGGUGCGCAGGUGGCCAAGUGUGUUAGGCGUGAAAGCCCGGGGCUUAACCCCGGAAUUGCACCUAAAACUACUUGGCUAGAGCAUUGGAGAGGGGAGCAGAAUUCACGGUGUAGCAGUGAAAUGCGUAGAUAUCGUGAGGAAUACCAGAGGCGAAGGCGGCUCCCUGGACAAUUGCUGACACUCAGGCACGAAAGCGUGGGGAGCAAAAGGG
Molecule: ribosomal RNA, 253 nt
Filed under: uncultured bacterium
Lineage: Bacteria
Description: partial 16S ribosomal RNA
Rfam family: Bacterial small subunit ribosomal RNA
Source: RNAcentral